RNAcentral lists this ribosomal RNA (773 nucleotides) under uncultured bacterium. Its description in RNAcentral is "bacterial SSU rRNA". It matches the Rfam family "Bacterial small subunit ribosomal RNA", at positions 1 to 769 of the family's 1533-position model. The record is from RNAcentral.
UAGAGUUUGAUCCUGGCUCAGAUUGAACGCUGGCGGCAGGCCUAACACAUGCAAGUCGAGCGGUAACACAGAGGAGCUUGCUCCUUAGGUGACGAGCGGCGGACGGGUGAGUAAUGCCUGGGGAUCUGCCCGAUAGAGGGGGAUAACUACGGGAAACUGUAGCUAAUACCGCAUAACGUCUACGGACCAAAGUGGGGGCUCUUCGGACCUCAUGCUAUCGGAUGAACCCAGGUGGGAUUAGCUAGUUGGUGAGGUAAUGGCUCACCAAGGCGACGAUCUCUAACUGGUUUGAGAGAAUGACCAGUCACACUGGAACUGAGACACGGUCCAGACUCCUACGGGAGGCAGCAGUGGGGAAUAUUGCACAAUGGGCGCAAGCCUGAUGCAGCCAUGCCGCGUGUGUGAAGAAGGCCUUCGGGUUGUAAAGCACUUUCAGCGGGGAGGGAGGGCUACUAGUUAAUACCUAGUGGCAUUGACGUUACUCGCAGAAGAAGCACCGGCUAACUCCGUGCCAGCAGCCGCGGUAAUACGGAGGGUGCAAGCGUUAAUCGGAAUUACUGGGCGUAAAGCGCACGCAGGCGGUUUGUUAAGUCAGAUGUGAAAUCCCCGAGCUCAACUUGGGAACUGCAUUUGAAACUGGCAAGCUAGAGUCUUGUAGAGGGGGGUAGAAUUCCAGGUGUAGCGGUGAAAUGCGUAGAGAUCUGGAGGAAUACCGGUGGCGAAGGCGGCCCCCUGGACAAAGACUGACGCUCCCCUGCGAAAGCGUGGGGAGC